CAGUGCACUGUGUUUUCUCUCUCUUCGCCUAAGCAUUGAGGAAACGCCCUUGAUGCUCUGUGUUUUCUCCGAGUUUUCUCACCUAAGCAUUGAGAAAACGCCCUUGAAGCUCUGGGUUUUCUCCGAGUUUUCUGGCCUAAGCAUAGAGGAAACGCCCUUGAAGCUCUGUGUUUUCUCCGAGUUUUCUCAUCUGAAGCUCUUCAUUUCGGAAACCUCUUCAUUUCGGAAACAUCUGAAGCUCUUCAUUUCUCUGUCUUCGCCGAAACAUUGAGGAAACGCCCUUGAAGCUCUGCGUUUUCUCUGAUUUUUCCCUCUCUUCGCUGGAACAUUGAAGAAAUUCCCUUGAAGCUUUGUGUUUUCUCUGCGCUUUCUCAUUUGAAAGUCUUCAUUUCCUCUCUCCUUUGCCCAAACAAAAACGAAAAUGGUGCUAUCUCUUCCCUCUGAAGCUUCAGCUCAACAAGUUUGGCUCAUUAUACAGUUUUUGAAUGUUUUUGGGAAAGAUGGACUCCUUCGCAAGACAUGGUUCUUGAUCGGUGAUAAUUACUCCGGGUUGACGUCCACUCCUUGCCUGUAGCCAAUUUUCAAAUACCCAUACAAAAGACUCAACUUUCUCAUCAAAUAUAAAAGCAAACUUAAAAAAUAUUGUGAUAAGGUGGUGAUUCACUCCAAGUAUGGGAGCACAGGGCAUGUCAAAAGCAUUUGUCUUAUGUGUGGUAUCAAAGGUGACCACAUUCAAGAAGUGAUGGUAGAACACCCUUGACAUGGCAUCUAACCAUAAUAGGCUGACAAUGUGAUCUUUUUUAUCUAAUUUCACUUUAUAGAAAAAAGAUGGAUUGAAUCUCUUUAUAUCGAUUAACCAUUUCAUCGCAUGAUUGCCAUCUUCCCCUUUGAA
Long non-coding RNA from Amborella trichopoda, 892 nucleotides. RefSeq lists it as uncharacterized. The record is from RefSeq and is a predicted model, not a curated record. NCBI's taxonomy places the organism in Eukaryota, Viridiplantae, Streptophyta, Magnoliopsida, Amborellales, Amborellaceae.